Molecule: long non-coding RNA, 1508 nt
Organism: Photinus pyralis (common eastern firefly)
Lineage: Eukaryota; Metazoa; Arthropoda; Insecta; Coleoptera; Lampyridae
Exons: 3
Source: RefSeq, a predicted model, not a curated record
UUCACUAAAUCCCAAUUUUACUUUACUUGUUUUACUGUUUUUUGGAUACAGAUGUUUAGACCAAUUUCAGUAUUACAAAUGCAAAGUACACAGAUCAGUCCCUCAUGGGCUUCGCCAGCACUGAAAUAACUAUACUGAAUUUGCUCUUUAUGGCAAAGAAAAUAUACUGGCGCGCUUAAUUGAUUGGUCCUUGGUCGAAAUACGGUUGUUUUAAAUUAUGUUACUAAACCGUGCAAAUCCACUUCGAUCGAUUAUAUAAUUCUUUCUUGUAGUUCAAUAAACUGACAUAUAUGAAUCUAAUUCAAACCCCGGACAGACGGAUGACACCGAUUUUCGGAACUAAUUAUGAGGUCGCUGUGUAUUAUACAAUUCACUGACGUAUAUCCAAAACGACUGCUUUUCCAUAAACUAUUUAUGUACAAUUCCACCAGUCAUACAAUCUAUUAGGAAAUUCGCCCCUCUAAUUUUUGACCCUGUAGACUUUCUAUGAUAUGUUUGACCCUUACAUAAAUCCCAAAAAUCCUAAAUCUCUAUAAAAUUCUACAGAAAUUUACAGCUACCGUUACAAGGAUGAAGAAUGAUCUAAAAAUAAACGAAAAUAUUUGUGGGUUGAACAAAUUCCAGAAGGUGCCAAACUCCAAAGAGCCUUACGAAAAGUAACAGAAGAACAUUGAACGGUUAUACAGAGACCGCAAAGGAAACAAUGGGGCUUUUGUUUCAAUCACACAUUCCGGGAUCAAAGACCUCGCUCAAAAUGACGCGGGCGAAUCAAUUAUUCUGGAACCACUUCUCAGGUGGACCAGAGGAGAUUGGGUUUUGGCUCGAGAUAGUGAACCUAACGAGGCAGUGAAGUCUUUCCGUCCGUAUAAAUCCCAAGGGAUGGAUGGGUCCUGCUCUACAAGGCCUCGACCCGCUAGCCUUCACGCUAUGUAUGUUACUAAGGGCAAGUUUUGUCCUGGAAUACACACCUAUGGUGCGAAGGGACGUAAAAGUCGUAUUCAUAUCGAUACCUGGGCUAGAAUCAUACACCCAAGCCAAAAUGUUUAGACCCAUCAGUCUAACGUCUUUCUCCUAAAAUUAGUGAAGAAACUUAUUGAACAUGAGGGAUGAGAUAUGGAGAGGGCGUUUGACAAUAUCACUCUGGAAGGUGUGGUAAAAUAAGACCUUUAUCCAGAAGAACAUACAGAUACUUAGCAAGGUGCACCGCAGAGAUUGCCUUGAAAUUACGUGGGAAAUAAUAGCGACCCUUACGGAAGGUAUAGAGACCCUCUUGAACUUACCGCGAGUACACCUAGUAAUUAGGGCAGUGGCACUCAGAGGGGCAUACUGUAACGGGAUUUCCCUGUACAGAAAUGUGAUAAAUUGUCAUGGAAAGGAAUUUAUUUCAUUUACUUUGACCUGAUUUGGUAUAAUAUUUAAUCGCGAGAAAGCUAAAAGGGAAUUAGCAAUGUAAACUCAAAAUCGCUUUAAGUAUGUGUAUUCAGGAGAAGGUAAUUAAAUGAGUCAUU